Molecule: ribosomal RNA, 222 nt
Filed under: Triticum aestivum (bread wheat)
Lineage: Eukaryota; Viridiplantae; Streptophyta; Magnoliopsida; Poales; Poaceae
Description: partial small subunit ribosomal RNA
Source: RNAcentral
AUGAAUUGUUUGGCUUGGAACUGUCGGGGCGCGGCCAACAAACCGACAGUUCGAGACCUAGUGGGCCUCACGAGGACCACUAAAGCAAAAUUGGUCUUUCUUAGUGAAACUAGAGUUAAAGCAGAAAAAGUUCGUCGUUUACGUGGUAGAUUGGGUCUUAAAGGUUUUGCCGGAUGUGAUAGUAAGGGCCUUAGCGGUGGACUAGCACUCUUCUGGUGUGAU